This 1133-nucleotide ribosomal RNA is filed under the name Klebsiella variicola. RNAcentral describes it as "bacterial SSU rRNA". It matches the Rfam family "Bacterial small subunit ribosomal RNA", at positions 1 to 1125 of the family's 1533-position model. Lineage: Bacteria; Pseudomonadati; Pseudomonadota; Gammaproteobacteria; Enterobacterales; Enterobacteriaceae. RNAcentral also lists the same sequence under 2 other names. The record is from RNAcentral.
AAAUUGAAGAGUUUGAUCAUGGCUCAGAUUGAACGCUGGCGGCAGGCCUAACACAUGCAAGUCGAGCGGUAGCACAGAGAGCUUGCUCUCGGGUGACGAGCGGCGGACGGGUGAGUAAUGUCUGGGAAACUGCCUGAUGGAGGGGGAUAACUACUGGAAACGGUAGCUAAUACCGCAUAACGUCGCAAGACCAAAGUGGGGGACCUUCGGGCCUCAUGCCAUCAGAUGUGCCCAGAUGGGAUUAGCUGGUAGGUGGGGUAACGGCUCACCUAGGCGACGAUCCCUAGCUGGUCUGAGAGGAUGACCAGCCACACUGGAACUGAGACACGGUCCAGACUCCUACGGGAGGCAGCAGUGGGGAAUAUUGCACAAUGGGCGCAAGCCUGAUGCAGCCAUGCCGCGUGUGUGAAGAAGGCCUUCGGGUUGUAAAGCACUUUCAGCGGGGAGGAAGGCGGUGAGGUUAAUAACCUCAUCGAUUGACGUUACCCGCAGAAGAAGCACCGGCUAACUCCGUGCCAGCAGCCGCGGUAAUACGGAGGGUGCAAGCGUUAAUCGGAAUUACUGGGCGUAAAGCGCACGCAGGCGGUCUGUCAAGUCGGAUGUGAAAUCCCCGGGCUCAACCUGGGAACUGCAUUCGAAACUGGCAGGCUAGAGUCUUGUAGAGGGGGGUAGAAUUCCAGGUGUAGCGGUGAAAUGCGUAGAGAUCUGGAGGAAUACCGGUGGCGAAGGCGGCCCCCUGGACAAAGACUGACGCUCAGGUGCGAAAGCGUGGGGAGCAAACAGGAUUAGAUACCCUGGUAGUCCACGCUGUAAACGAUGUCGAUUUGGAGGUUGUGCCCUUGAGGCGUGGCUUCCGGAGCUAACGCGUUAAAUCGACCGCCUGGGGAGUACGGCCGCAAGGUUAAAACUCAAAUGAAUUGACGGGGGCCCGCACAAGCGGUGGAGCAUGUGGUUUAAUUCGAUGCAACGCGAAGAACCUUACCUGGUCUUGACAUCCACAGAACUUUCCAGAGAUGGAUUGGUGCCUUCGGGAACUGUGAGACAGGUGCUGCAUGGCUGUCGUCAGCUCGUGUUGUGAAAUGUUGGGUUAAGUCCCGCAACGAGCGCAACCCUUAUCCUUUGUUGCCAGCGGU